CACCCUCCGGGCGUUUGCUCAUGCGCUUGACUGAUCAUUUUUAGCGCGAAAACAUUUAGAAACGUUUUGGCUGGUAAUAGUCAACCAAAUUUGACCCUCGAGAAAGGUCGGAGGUUAAUUCACGUGGACGCGAUGGAUUGGAGCACACAACACGACAUUCUUCGAGAUUCUGCAGUCACAGCUCCACAUGCUUAUACGGUCGUCACUCCUUUCCGUUGCUCUGUUUCGGCCGUGAACUCUGUGAGGAGGUUUCAGCGAAUCGAGUAGUAAAGGCGUGGGCGUGGGAGAGCCGUCCAGGCUUUAAACCAGAGUGGGUAUGUGGGACACCUGCGCAAGCACUGGAGUUUGCCCUGCAGCGCCUGAAAGGACACCCACAGUGUCCUCUCCCAGUGGGUCCCUUGGCCCCUCGAAGCAUACCUCAGGCGGAAUGUGGAUUGCAUGGAGUGAAGUGGUGGAAUUGAGCUACCAAGACACUGGCGCGCAACAAAAGUACCGACUUGUCGCCGCUAGCCUCCCAGGUCACUAGGAAGCAGGCUCUGAGCCAAGGGGAAGGCAGAGGACAGAUAUGGAUGUGUUCCCAAGCUUCCCUGGUGGUUUAUGGCAUUCUCCAAACUCCUCUGCAAGGGCUGUUCCUGACCAAGAAGACCCAAGGAGACCGUCUCUGAAAUUAAGUCCGGAUGAAGUUCUGCUAAUAUUUUGCAGACUCAGGGGGAAGGAACACCUGGGAACAGGAACUUGAAUGGGAGACUUUUUGCUGCCCAGCAUUUUCUGGGGCCUUCUACUAGAAACUUCAGGGGAUGGAUUAACCACAGCGAUCUGUAGGAACUUUGUAUAAGCAUAUACAUAUUUUCCAUGCAAUUACUAAGCUCUUUGUGCCUUUCAUUUUUUCCCUUUAAGUCAGAUCUUUAAACAGCCACUUUGUCUCCCUAACAAGAUAAACCGUAUUAUCAGAACUGAGAGUUUAUACGACUAGCUAAUUUUGUUACAGGGCUCAUUUUAGAGUUCAGUGUAGGCAUGUAAGAGUCUAGUUUGUUGCUGCACCUCUCCCGACACACCUGCUGCUCUCACGAUUAUGAGAUUCAAAACAUGAGUAGCAAUCCUCUCCUUCCGCUUUCUACCAGGAGUACAUACAUGUCAUUUCGAAUUUUACAGAUUCACUUUACAUUUCAGCUCUAGUCUCUAGAUGUUUUUCUAAAUCAGAAAAGAAAGUCAUUUUGUCUUAAGGGAUGCUGCCUGCCUCAGACAAGCAUCUCGCAUGGUACCAUGGCCAGUUCAGGAUGGCCUUGCACUGGCUGAUGCGCACGUCAUUAGAGGUUGUGCAAGAAAUGUCACUUUUGCCUCAGUGUCUGGCACCUCUGACAUCACCGUGGACUCUCUGACCCUCUCCUCUGUGCCUCACCCUUUCCCUUUUUUUCACACAGUUCUUGCCUUGUGCUCUGUUCUUCUUGAUGUUUUGUGUUUUCAGACAGCAAGUCCUGGGAGGCGGUUUUCCUUUCCCUAAACCUGGAGGAUUUUCUCCAGUUUGUUUUGUCUUAGAAAACUUCAGGCCUUCUGCUGUGUUUCGCUUUGAUGGCCUCCUUUGCCACUCAGCACGGAGUGUGUCUGUUGAUCAGCUCUGUUCUGGCUGCUGCAGGUGAGGCUCAAGUAGAGGCCAGCUCCCUUCCUUCUCAUCACAGCUUCCAGACAGGAUCACACCUCCCCUUCCCCUAGCCUCCCAUGUCCCCCGCAGGGUCCCAGAGGUGAGGGGGGAGUGGUCCUGGCUGCACUUGCCCGGUUUCCUGCCCUACAGUUGUGUUUCCUCCUCACUUCCCAUCCCUUCUCUCAUGCGUGCUCCUUUUCUCCCUUGUCUCUACUCCUAAAUCAAGAUGCACUUCUCUCGUCGCCUCUGAAGCAGUGCUUGACACCCUCUCCAGCUCUGCCCUCCUUCCAGCCAAGCGAAGUGCUAAGGUACCCGCACUGCUGUUCUCUUGUUUCCACAGGUGCUAUUGCCAAGCUCAGAAGAGGCAGUUUCUUGUGGGAGUGGAGGCUGGUGAUGGAAUCCCUUGGGGGGGCUGCCUCCCCAGAUUUCCCUCUUUAAUGUCUCCAGCAAACAGGUGGUCACUCUACUGGUAGUAAAUUCCUGGGUAUUUUUACCCAACACCCCAUAAACAAAAUGGCAAUGUUAUUGGACAUGUCAUACAACCAGGCCUAUUGAGUAAUGUCCGCAUUAAUCAAUUUGCCAAAGAAAGCAGGUUGUUAUCUCAGCUUGUUCGGAGAGAGGCUAGCUAUGGGAAGGAGGAAGAACUCAGGCAUCAGGCUUACAAGUACGCGGUCAAGAUUUAAAUGAUACCUAAUCGGUGAUUUGGUGCGCCGUGAAGUGAAUCUUUUCCUACGCAAAACUGCACUGGCAGUACAGUUGAUUCUCUCGUAAUUGCUACAGGAACCUCACUAGAGUGCCUUGGGGAGAGCCUGUUGCCCUGGGACUGAAGUAGCGAGGAGAUAGAACCCAAGAGAGAUGCAAGUUUUAUCAGAUUUGUCUCAAUAUUAAGAAAUGUUGUACUACAAAGAAAUCCUUUGGCUGGAGGAUGACUGAUUCACUUUUUGAUCCAUCCAUUCAUUCAUAAAACACCUUGAGCAGCUCCUUCUCCCCAGGCAUUGGGCUGUAUGCUAGACACACCAAGAUUCACGAGGCAGGGUCUCUGCUCUCAGGGAGCUUACACACUGAUGGGAGAUUCUCGGGCGUACCUCUCUAAGUAUGCGCAGGAUAGUGUGUAAAGUGUGAUAAUAAAGCUACACAUAAAAUACAGAGGGGAUCUAGGGGAAAUCUUUCCUGAAGGGCUUAUUUCUGUGCCAGGUCUCAAGGGAUGAGCACAAGUUUUUCAAGCAGGCAAGAAAAGAAAUGUUUUCAAAGGCAGCCUGGUGUGAAAUUACAAUGGGAAACCACAAAUAAUUUGGUUUGGGUGUAACACAGGCAUCUCAGGAGAUGGGAGGAGCAGUGUCAAGAGCUAAGGCCAAAGACAUACACAGGAGCUAGAUGAUGAAGUGCACUGAAUUCAAGCGGGGACUUAAUUUGAAGCUGCUUGGGAGCCACUGAGAGUUUAAGCAGGAGAGUAACAAUUAAAUCUGGGGGAACUUGGCUCUUUCACAUGCAGUUGGCAGCUCCUCAAUAACUUUUCCUUUAUUUUGUAAUGUUUUAUUAUAUUAUGUCAUGCUUGUAAUAUACGUAUGCUAUACAAUGGUAUGGUAUGUGGGGUUUACCAUUGUAGUCUAAGGGCCUGGCGUCUAGUAUGCUCUUACUAAUACCUGAUGACUGAUAUAGUUUCUGACACAGUCUCUGACCCUUGCUUAGAUGUCGGUGGUACCGGCAGGUGGUACCGGCCACACCUCUGGGCUCCCUUUCCCUCCAGGCUCUUUCUAUCACCCACACGCAACAAGUGACAGAAGAAUGGUUGGGAUGUCUCCAUGGGGGUGCAUUGCUGCUGCAUGACAGUGCCCAAUACAUAUUCCAGAAAUUAUCUUAAUCCCUCCAUCACCCAGAAUUUUCAUUCAACCAAUUGUGACGUCUCUGGGAAAGAACAGUUUCAAAAUGUUAGUGAGACGCGGAACCCACUCUGGAGUGAGCUUUUACUUUCAACUUUCUUGAACUAUGUCCCUUUUGCAAGGUGACAGACUACAAUUUCUCAGUGCCCUUCAUUUUCCCCACGCCAUGCCUGUAACAAAUAUCACCAAGGAGAGAUGGAUGGGCAGAUGGAGUGAAUGUUAGACAAAGAGACUGAAUUUAGAAUCUUCCAUUUAUUCAAUAAAAUUGAAAAUAUGUUAUUUAAGAGAGGUGGAAAAAAACCCUCAAUGUUGUCUACAGAAACUUUCCUUAAACAGAUAGAAUUUCUCUUUUUGAUUUGUAAAAGUAACAACAACAACAAAAAAGUACAUUUUAUUUCAGAAGUAAUACGUGCCCAUGGUAAAACGUUCCAACAGCAAAGAGGCUCAUAAGGUAAAAAGUAAAACCUCUGACUCACUCUCCAGAGUUAACCACUGUAUAACCUUCCAGAAAUGUUGGACACACUACAAGGAGUAUGGGUAUCGCCCUCUCAUUUUUACACAGAUGGUAUUAAAUUACACACACUGGGGCUUCCCUGGUAGUGCAGUGGUUAAGAAUCCGCCUGCCAAUGCAGGGGACACGGGUUCGAGCCCUGGUCCAGGAAGA
Molecule: RNA transcript, 4183 nt
Organism: Aethalodelphis obliquidens (Pacific white-sided dolphin)
Lineage: Eukaryota; Metazoa; Chordata; Mammalia; Artiodactyla; Delphinidae
Gene: GPR19
Gene name: G protein-coupled receptor 19
Exons: 5
Source: RefSeq, a predicted model, not a curated record